Molecule: transfer RNA, 73 nt
Filed under: Schistocerca americana (American grasshopper)
Lineage: Eukaryota; Metazoa; Arthropoda; Insecta; Orthoptera; Acrididae
Description: tRNA-Tyr
Rfam family: tRNA
About the family: Transfer RNA (tRNA) molecules are approximately 80 nucleotides in length. Their secondary structure includes four short double-helical elements and three loops (D, anti-codon, and T loops).
Source: RNAcentral
CCUCUGGUAGCUCAGUUGGUAGAGCGGUGGACUGUAGAUCCAUAGGUCGCUGUUUCGAAUCCGGCCCAGAGGA